GCUUGUCUCAAAGAUUAAGCCAUGCAUGUCUAAGUAUAAAUGCUAUACAAUGAAACUGCGAAUGGCUCAUUAAAACAGUUAUAGUUUAUUUGGUAAUCGAAUUUACAUGGAUAACCGUGGUAAUUCUAGAGCUAAUACAUGCUGUUAAGCCUGACUUACGAAGGGCUGUAUUUAUUAGAUAACAGACCAAUAUUCCCUCGUGUCUAUUGUGGUGAAUAACUUUGGGCUGAUCGUAUGGCCUUGUGCCGACGACGUUUCCUUCGAAGGUGUGCCCUAUCAACUGUCGACUGUGAUAUAGACGCUCACAGUGGUUUUGACGGGUAACGGGGAAUCAGGGUUCGAUUCCGGAGAGGGAGCCUUAAAAACGGCUACCACAUCCAAGGAAGGCAGCAGG
This 394-nucleotide ribosomal RNA is filed under the name uncultured fungus. RNAcentral describes it as "partial small subunit ribosomal RNA". It matches the Rfam family "Eukaryotic small subunit ribosomal RNA", at positions 30 to 432 of the family's 1831-position model. Lineage: Eukaryota; Fungi. The record is from RNAcentral.